This 460-nucleotide ribosomal RNA is filed under the name uncultured bacterium. RNAcentral describes it as "partial 16S ribosomal RNA". It matches the Rfam family "Bacterial small subunit ribosomal RNA", at positions 338 to 795 of the family's 1533-position model. The record is from RNAcentral.
CCUACGGGAGGCAGCAGUGAGGAAUAUUGGUCAAUGGCCGGAAGGCUGAACCAGCCAUGCCGCGUGAAGGUCAGUGCCCUAUGGGCGUUAAACUUCUUUUGUGCGGGAGCAAUAAUGGUCACGUGUGGCCAGACGAGAGUACCGUACGAAUAAGCAUCGGCUAACUCCGUGCCAGCAGCCGCGGUAAUACGGGGGAUGCAAGCGUUAUCCGGAGUUAUUGGGGUUAAAGGGUGCGUAGGCUGUGAGGUAAGUCAGCGGUGAAAUGCCCCCGCGCAACGGGGUGAAGUGCCAUUGAUACUGCCUUGCUGGAGUGCGGAUGCCGUGGGAGGAAUGUGUAGUGUAGCGGUGAAAUGCAUAGAUAUCACACAGAACACCGAUUGCGAAGGCAUCUCACGGAUCCGCGAUUGACGCUGAUGCACGAAAGCGUGGGUAUCAAACAGGAUUAGAUACCCUGGUAGUC